UUAUGCUGAAGGGGAAACCACUGUGUGAAUGAUGCUUAUAAAACCAUAUUUGGUUCAGGGACAAGAUUGAUGGUUCAACCAAAUAUUACGGAUUCGGACCCUUCUGUCUACCAACUGAAGCCGAAAGAUAAAGAAAUGGAGACAGACCAAAGCGCUCAGAAAGAGAUUGGCGUGUGCCUCUUCACGGAUUAUUUCCCUGACAAGCUCCAAGUGGGGAUCAAUAAAAAUACACAGUCGACCAAUAGCUCUUUGGUUGUGGUGAAAGAGAAUGAAUAUGACGAGAAAGGAACGGCCAGCUAUGGGAUCGUGUUGUGGGGUACCUUGGACGAUGAGUUUCAUUGCAAUGCAGUUAUGAAUGGAAAAACCUUUGAAACAAAUCCAGAAGAUGCAGGCACCUGUUCAGCAGAGGAUGAAAAGCCAGUUUUUGAAGCAGAUGAGAGGUCAAAUCUCCUGUCCCUCUCUGUCUUGGGCCUGAGAAUCAUCUUCAUCAAGACGAUUGCCUUCAAUGUGCUGUUCACCUUCCGCGUGUAUUCACGAAGAGGUCGGAAAUGAAAAACAAAAGGAGGAACAUGGUGGGGAUGGUGUAGAAGAAAUUUCCGAAUAGGCAUUUACCCCACCUUCUUGAAAUUUGGGUGCAAACGUAGAGAAAGACAUUGGCAUCACGCUGGAGAGAACCAUAUGCAUUCCUUCUCUUUUUUCUUUUUCCAGCUAGAUACGGCUGUUUUUUAUUGGGACAACGUCUGCAUUUCUGCUUCUUUGCACAAGAAUAUUCAGAGGGGUGGGGGAAGCUGGCAAGCUAACUUGAUGAUGGUAAGCCGCCUUGGGCCCUUCUAAGGAGAAAGGCGGGGUCACGAGAUUUUAAAUAAAUACAACAAUAAAUUUCCUGCUUUGUUUUAUUCUACUCUGCCACACUUUCAAUAUAAUCUACUGUAUAAAAUAGUAUGCUUUAUAUUUUACCAAAUAUUAAAAAAAGAUGUUUAUAUUUGAA
Molecule: non-coding RNA, 988 nt
Organism: Pogona vitticeps (central bearded dragon)
Lineage: Eukaryota; Metazoa; Chordata; Lepidosauria; Squamata; Agamidae
Source: the annotation of a RefSeq genome assembly